This 650-nucleotide ribosomal RNA is filed under the name uncultured bacterium. RNAcentral's name for it is "bacterial SSU rRNA". It matches the Rfam family "Bacterial small subunit ribosomal RNA", at positions 116 to 764 of the family's 1533-position model. The record is from RNAcentral.
CGUACACAACCUUCCUUCAAGAGAUGGAUAGCCCGGAGAAAUCCGGAUUAAUACAUCGUAACAUCACCGGGUGGCAUCACCUGAUGAUUAAAGUACCAGCGCUUGAAGAUGGGCGUGCGCCUGAUUAGGUAGUUGGUGAGGUAACGGCUCACCAAGCCGACGAUCAGUAACUGGCGUGAGAGCGCGACCAGUCACACGGGCACUGAGACACGGGCCCGACUCCUACGGGAGGCAGCAGUAAGGAAUAUUGGUCAAUGGACGCAAGUCUGAACCAGCCAUGCCGCGUGAAGGAUGAAGGUCCUCUGGAUUGUAAACUUCUUUUAUCUGGGAAGAAACCACUUUUUUCUAAAGGUGUUGACGGUACCAGAGGAAUAAGCACCGGCUAACUCCGUGCCAGCAGCCGCGGUAAUACGGAGGGUGCAAGCGUUAUCCGGAUUCACUGGGUUUAAAGGGUGCGUAGGCGGAUUUGUAAGUCCGUGGUGAAAUCUCCAGGCUUAACCUGGAAACUGCCGUGGAUACUAUAAAUCUUGAAUGUUGUGGAGGUUAGCGGAAUAUGUCAUGUAGCGGUGAAAUGCAUAGAUAUGACAUAGAACACCAAUUGCGAAGGCAGCUGGCUACACAAAUAUUGACGCUGAGGCACGAAAGCGUGG